This 254-nucleotide ribosomal RNA is filed under the name uncultured bacterium. RNAcentral's name for it is "partial 16S ribosomal RNA". It matches the Rfam family "Bacterial small subunit ribosomal RNA", at positions 524 to 776 of the family's 1533-position model. The record is from RNAcentral.
UACGUAGGGCGCAAGCGUUGUCCGGAUUUAUUGGGCGUAAAGAGCUCGUAGGCGGUUCGAUAAGUCGGGUGUGAAACCUCCAGGCUCAACCUGGAGACGCCACCCGAUACUGUCGUGACUAGAGUCCAGUAGGGGAGCGUGGAAUUCCUGGUGUAGCGGUGAAAUGCGCAGAUAUCAGGAGGAACACCAGCGGCGAAGGCGGCGCUCUGGGCUGGCACUGACGCUGAGGAGCGAAAGCGUGGGUAGCGAACAGG